RNAcentral lists this long non-coding RNA (263 nucleotides) under Ananas comosus (pineapple). RNAcentral's name for it is "long non-coding RNA (ACOM_LNC013765)". Lineage: Eukaryota; Viridiplantae; Streptophyta; Magnoliopsida; Poales; Bromeliaceae. The record is from RNAcentral.
UCUCUGUCUCACCAAAAAUUUUAGAAUAUUUAUAUUACUGAUGUGAUGUAAGUGUUAUACAGUAAAUUUUUUUUUUUUUUUCACACACAUGUAUUAGAGAUUUUAGCCUAGCUAGUACUCCGGACAAAAGAAAAAAACUAGUAUAGUACUCCAAUUGAUAGAAAAGUCUAUCGUAUAAAUUUGAAUUUGCAACACGUGACAGAAAUUUAUUCUUUUUACGUCGGUAACGUAUUUCAUCACCCACACCCCCAUCCUCAAAAAAA